Molecule: long non-coding RNA, 3893 nt
Organism: Leopardus geoffroyi (Geoffroy's cat)
Lineage: Eukaryota; Metazoa; Chordata; Mammalia; Carnivora; Felidae
Exons: 3
Source: RefSeq, a predicted model, not a curated record
GCCAACUUUCAAACUGGAACUUAAGCCAUAUGCUCUCCUGGUCUUCAGGCCUUUAGAUUCAGUCUUGAACUCCACCUUGACUCCUCUGGGUCUGUCUCUUGAGAGUUUUCUUAGCCUCUGUAACCACACAAACCAAUUUCUUAUCAUCUAUCUAUCUAUCUAUCUAUCUUUGGAGAACCCCGACUAAUGCAUUUAUGUAUCAAAUAUUUGCAUGUCGAUAGGAAUUAGAGAAGCAACAGAUUUGACAAAGGACUGAGGUGGAGGUGAAGGUGUUGCCUUUGUGGGUAAAGAAGGACACUGCAGGUCAUUCUACAGGAAACAGAACUCACUGUGGUUAAAGAUAUCUAGGAAAUCUGGAAAGGAAUCCAAGCCUGUCCAACUCCAAAGCCAAAGAAAUGUUCAUGGUGAUUUUACAGAGACCCUGGAAUUAUCCAUUAUUUUGCCUGAGACACAUAGAUAAGAAACCUCGAGACUCAGCGAAGUGAAGAGACCUGUUAAUCAUGCAGCUUGAAUGCCGUGACCAUGCUGGAGCUCAGACCUCCUGACUCCAAGUCAUGUAUAUUGCUCCAUAUCCAGGGGUGCAAAAAGGAAUUUAGACUCUUACUGGAGCUGGUGAGACAACAAGCAUGGAUUGAGGACAGUUACCUGAAAAAUCUCUGUCUUUCAUAAAGUAAAAGAAACAUGGUUUUGUGUAAGCAAUGCAAACAGGAAUAUGCAAGUGUCAUGGCAGAAUGUAUGCAUGGUGUAUCUAUAAUUACACAGAGGCUUUGCAUUUAGAAAUCGUAUCAUUCAACUGUUUUACUGCCUAAAACGCUUCAGCAGAUUGAGAUGAUUUCAACCUGGUGGAAAAUGGUGAUCAUCUUUCGCACAUGUAAGAGGUCUUAGCAGCUCUCCCCUUUCCCUAGUUCACAUUUCUCUAAGCCCUCGAUUAAUUCUUCCAUUUGUAACAUGAAGAUACCAUGGGGCUAUCACCAUCCAACUUUUCUGGACAUGAAUAAGAUAUAUUUGUUUUAUCUUUUUGUCAAUACUUUGACCAGGAAAUGCUUAAAAUCACGCUACAGAUUUUGCAAGCAGACAUUGUCUGUUUCAGGCUCGGUGGCAUCUAUUGUCAGUAGACAUAAACUUCAAUCCUCUCCUUAAAACUUGCCUUUUCUUUGCCAGUGCGGUUGAAUGUCCUACAUUAAAUGACGUGUCCUGGCCCCUCUGUACCAGGUUGGGUGUGCAAGGGCACAGAUAAAAACUGUCAUUACUUAAAAAAACAAAAACAAAAACAAAAACAAAAACUGUCAUUACUUGUUAGUACUGUAAAUUUCCAAAGGCUGCUUGCCCUUGCCAUGUUCUAUGCUAGAUGUCAGCAGGAUGAAUCAAAACCCAUCCCUGCCUCUCAAGGAACUUACAGUGAGGUGAAAGACCGAAAAUAAACAAAUUGUUUGGCGAAUGAACAAACAAGAGAUACGCACAAGGGGUUGGGGUAAAGCUGGUAAUAUGCAGGAGUUGAUCAUAAUAAAAGCUCACACCUUGCUUGCCAUGGGCCACCAUAAUUAGGGCUUUGCCUAUAUUAGCUCUUUUGGUCCUCACAAUAACUCUGCGAGUUAGCCUAUCUCUAGUAGAUUACUAUAGUCUUCAUUUUAUAGAUGGGGACACUGAGGCAUGGAAAAGGUGAGGGAGCAUAGAGGUGUGUGAGCUGAGAGUUGAAUCCAGGUAGAUUGGCUCAUCCACUUAGCUGCUAUCCUAUACUGUCUCAGCCUGUGGUCAGGGGCAGGAGGAGCUGUGAACCAGUCGGAGGAUGUGGGAAACACAUUCGAUGCAGACGGAAUUGCCUAUUCAGAGGCAUAGGAGACUGGGAAGAUGAGGCCGAGAUGAAGGCCUGCAGCUUGGGAUGCCUGUGGCACACAGGUAUGAAGACGCAUAUGCCAAAGGUAAGGCUAGACAUAUGAGCAUAUUCAUCUUGCCCCUUCCAGGUGAAGACUUCCCUGUUUUGUUCUGGAGACACAAGGAAGCUGUUGAAGCAUCUUAGGUAUGGACACGUCAUGACCUGAUACCCAUUUUCUGUGAGGUCAUCUGGGGGAAGUGUGAAGGAGAGUAUCUAGAACAUCUAGUAGAGUAUCUGGAGUAUCUAGUGUCUAGGAAAGCAUAUAUUUUGAGAAGGGAGAGGGGACCCAAAGCAAAGCUACCAGAGGGGAGCCUCUCACGAUUGUCUACGUACGGAGGGAGAGAAAGAUGAACCGGAAGGCUUUUAAUUGAUAGGCUGGACAGGUGAAGAGAAAGGUGCCGAGGACUGUGGCCAGGUUGGAUGUGUCUACAGGAAUGUAUGAGAUGGCGCAGGGAGAAGGAAGGUAGCCCUGUUUUGGAUGUUGAAGGCUCGAGGUACUUGGGAUGUAUGCUUGGGAUGCUGCAUGCACGUUAUGGAUUAAUAGGGUGGGGAUCAGCACCUGGAGAGAGGGGCUGACAAGUAGCACUGUGGGUAGAAGUGACUGGGGGCUUCUCACAGCAGUGUUUAGUGAUAUGGGCAGCUGGCUACUUCUCAAGGAAGGAGGUGCUGUAGGAGCUUCUGGGGGCAGCCAACGUCCUCAGUGUUAUCCACUCCCACCACCAUUUCUUGGAUCUGAGUCUGGAAUUCUGUUUCCAGCCAUGCCUUUACUCUUGAGUUGUGGAAGGUAUCAACCCUAAUUGAAUUAUUAUUUAAUAAAACAUCUAGAAUAGUGCCUGGAAUGUAGUCAUUACUGCACAUAGUCUGCUGUGCAAGUGCUUAUUAAGCAAAACAGGUGAAGGAACUCCCACUUAGAUAGCAGCUUGAGGUCUUUCUUCUUGCUUGAUACACAUAGGGCUUUGGGCAGGAAAUAGAGAUGCCUGAGGAGGACCAGCAUCUUAGAAAUAGGCUGAAGAAGACUACAAGAAGGGCCAUCCAAAGACUAAGCAGAACAUCAGCGAAAGCUCGUGUCACACCAGGCUCAUUUCUUCAAGAAGGUGGUGUCCACAGGGCGGAACCCAGGCAGCAGCACGAUUAAGUGAAAGAUGGCAAGUGUUUUAUUAGGUCUGGAAUCCAUCUCAGAGAUGAAAGUUGGCAUGUGCCUUGUGGGAUUAAUGGUAAUAGUCUCAAUGUUUAUCUUUUAGACCUGCUGCAUUCAAUUUGGAACCAGGAGCCACAGGCGUCAACUAAGCCACUAGCCCACAUGUCUUAAGUGGCUACUUUCCAUUUCAUGAGGUGUUUCAAUAAUCAUUUAAUGAGUGCCUGAUGCCUGCCAAACAAAACAGACAAUGUCUUACAGGAGAGACAGAUGUUUAUGUGUAUGUUUAAUGUCGAAACAUGUGUAGCCUGUGCUCCCUGCUAUGUGCCCUCAUGGUUCUUGCCUGAAGUCCAUUUGUUUUCUGCAAUCCUGCACUUCUUAGUAUAAUUGAUGGAGAGAGACAAUGACACUAUAUGGCUCCUCCAAGGAGACUGUAAGCUCCAAGAUAGCAGGGUUGUCUGGGCCUGCACAUCCACGUGUCUAAGAGCCUGGCACAUAAACACGUACGGAAUAAUGAUCACAAUUUCAGGAAGUGCAAUGAAGAAAUGGUACAACGUCCUUUGAGAGUAGGUAACUGGGGGGAUCUUAUUUAAAUGAGGGGGUAUUCAGACCAGAGAAAAAUUCCGUGAGGAAAUGACAGCUAGAGUGAGAGUUGCAAGAAGAAGGGGGGGAGGUAGCUAGAGAAAAGAGGGGAGGGCCUUUGAGGGAGUGGGGUGGGGGAAGAUCCCCAAGUGAACAGAGUUAGCUGCACUCUGUCUCAUUUCACACAGUGGUUUCCUUUAAGCUUCUGUAAAAUGCCAUUUCAGGAAAUCAUGUGUUCUGUUUUGUAAAAUGACUCAUAAAAGAGCUAUUUUGUUGUCAUUGGCAUUAAAAAUAAAUUCAGAA